This 10148-nucleotide long non-coding RNA is filed under the name Cinara cedri. The record is from RNAcentral. Lineage: Eukaryota; Metazoa; Arthropoda; Insecta; Hemiptera; Aphididae.
ACACUAGGUUUGUCUGUUUGAUAUUAUAUUCAGACCGUCAAAUUAUGCGUUUGUAUAUUACCGAAGACUUAUAAAUAAAACGUCCUUUACUGUUGUUGUGAUGACUAAUAUUUUCAUGUGUAUAAACCUGUUUGUGCUAUGGCAAUGCCAGCAGCAUCCGUGCACAACUGAGCAUUAUAUUAUUAUACUGUGUCGCCAGUAGUGUGGUUAAACGUUCAGCUAUAGUUGCGAUUUAUCGCGCGAGCUCAUUUCGAGGUGCGUGCCGUCCUAUUAUAAAUACUAUAAUAUCGUUUAUUUCUUACUCGUUCUAUUUUUGGGUAUAAUAUUAUAUUAUGCUAUUGUAUGGAUAUUGUAUUUACAUAGAUUAAAAUAUAAUGUAAUUAAAUACAAAUGUUCUUUUUCAAAAUAAUUAGCGUUCUACGGAAUGUUCUAAUAUACUUAUUAGACAAUUUUUUUAUUAUAAAAUCAGUAUCAUUUGGUCUUAGUGUUUUUUAACCGGUGUUCAAUUUUCAGUUUAAUCCGUUGGAGCUCGUUUCCGAGGAAUUGACGAGCCUAAUGGAUUCGAACAGCAGAGGCCUGAAACGGGCAAAAACCGUCCGUACGGAAUAUUUAAAGGAUGUGGACGACGUACAGAGAUGGCUUCAAGAAGCUGAAGUGAAGGUUCAAGAUCGGGGCAGUGAACCGAAAAAAAUCAAAGAACACAUUCAGGUACGUCUCAAAAUAAUAUAUGUGUUCAAAUAAUAUUUUUAGAUUAUGAGUGCAGAGUGGAGCGAAGAAGCUUAUGGUUGUACAAUAUGUUUAUUUUUUUUUUUUCCUGUGAACAAUUUUUCUACCAGAAAUAUUGCUCCGAUUUAAAAGUGGCGUAGCACUUUUUCCAAAAAGUAAAUCUGACUGGGGAUGUACUUUGAGAGGUAAUUUUUUGAUGUUCCCAGGAGUUUUCCCAAUAAAUAAGAAAACCCGGGAAAAACGUAGGAGAAACGGGAAAAUAGGUACAAUAUUAAACAAAUAUUAUUAAAGAAAAUAUAUAUUGCAUACGUUAUUAUUUUACCAUAAUAUGAAAUAUAUAUUUUUGAAAAAGCAACAUUGUCAUUGAAUUCCGCUCAGAAUAGUUUUUUCGUUAGCAAUCGUUGAUUACAGAUAAACAUUAAAUUAAUCUAUAAUAGUGGUUACACCCGUCCCUAUUAUUUAGGACAGCUAUUAUUAAUUUAAUCUUCUUAAAGUUCGUUUAACAUAUAGGUUCUUAACCUAUAUGGUUCGCGAGUCAUACCAAUAAAAUUGAAAAAAUAAUUUAACGUAAAACGUUAGUGGUUAUCGGAACCGUCUAACCUCACAAUUGAGGUCCUGCGCAACGUUUUUUUUACUAUCUGCUAAAACUUAAAGACGAAUUUAAUCGGUAUAUCCUAGAAUAUGAUGGUUUAGAAUCUAUAGAUAUCCGAAGUAUGAUUCGAAGAUGUUAUUGAGUUACAAAAUGAAUUUUUUUUUUUAUAAGUAAAAAAAAAAAUCAUCAACAGAUCGAAGUGGUUUGAGACUUAUCGAAAGUUCUCUAAGUUGUCUGUAAUGUAAAAACGCUUGGUCUAAUACAACAUUAUUCGGAUGUUUUCUAUCUUAUAUCGGUAAUAUUUUAGUAAUAAUUACAUAGAAAAGAUAAAAUACAUAAUAUUCCAAAGUUCAUUAUUAUAUCCUAUACCUAGUGUUGUAUUUAGCUAUUUGGGGUGGGGGGAGGCUGAUCAAGUUUCAUAUCUUAUGUUUUAUCUACUUUAUUAUAUUAUAUAUUAUACAAUAAUUUAAUAUUUUCUUGAAAUUUUGGGGGAAACUGCAUUUAUAAAUAACUAUCCUAAGAUAAAAUGCCAUAAAUUAAUAGUUAUAAAUACCUACAUACCUAUAUUAUAUUAACGCUUUGUUACAGUUUUGAUGUACAAAAACCAAACAUUUUCAAUAAUUGCUGUGGUGGUUUUGUUUUGUGUUGAUAAGGUUUUUGUAUAUAAAAUAUUACAAGUAAUAGUUUUAAAACAGUUAAUUAAUAUUUAGAUAAAAUAUUUAACAUUUUAUGAACAUAUAUAAUUAGAUAUUUCUCAUUGGUUACUUUUUUUUUAAAUUUUUAUUUUGAUAGUUCGUUGUUGAUUGGAAUAACUAAAAUACUCUUCAUUUAAAAAUGAAAUUUUAGUUAUAUAAUUAUUAUUAUACACGAGUAUUUCACUAUACAAAAGUUUGUUAUUUUUUUUUUUACAAGUUUUCUUGAGUUGUUAAAUUCGUAAAUAUUGUUAUGUAUAAGUUUACUAUAAAAAUAUAUGUAAUGAAAACACAAAUUUUAACAUUUGAUUUUUAUAAUAGGUAAUAUAAAUUCCAUGUUUAUUGAUAAAAAUUUUUUAUUAAAAUCCUUUAUAUACAAUUUUUCAAUGAAAUUAGAUAUUUAUACAUAAAAGUACGGACAUACUUCGCAUGUGGGUGCAGCCACUGUAGUUGGGGAGGUAGGAUACAGACGGGAAUUUAAUGGACCAUAUCUGUAAGCAACGAUAAACCAUUGCCAAUGAAAACUAUUUUGAGUGGAGUUUACUUGAUAGUGUUGCUUUGUAACAAUAUAUGAAAUUAUAUAAUAAUUUUAUAAUAUAAAAUGAUUACAAUAAUGUGAGUUUCCAUGACAACAAUGAUUGAUUAAAAAGAUUUAAAAUUAUAAAAACUUAAUAAUAACAAAAAAUAAAUAAAAACGGUAACCAAUGACAACCUUAUUUUUAAUCCUUUUUAACCUGAAAAACCAGGUUUUCUUCAUUAUCUCGAAUAUUAAUGAGAAUUUCAAAAAUUGACCUCUUUAAAGUACCACCCCGAGAAUAUUUCCUUUCAGAAAAGGUGCUAUAUACUUAAUAAUCGAAGUAUGCUUUCUGGUAGAAAAAGUGUUAAAAUAAAAAAAAUAAAAAAAUAAACAUCAUUGUGAAACUAAUACAUUCCUCGCUCCAUUUAGAAUCUAAAAAUAUUUGGUACAAGUUAUUUUUUUUUAAUAUAGUUACAUUUAAAUUUAACUAAUAUUUUAUUUUUAAAAAUUAUUUUAUUUAUAAUUAAAUUACCUAUCAUAUAAUUGUAGGUAUAAUAAUGGAACUUUUAUUUUGCUUUAUAUUUUUGAUUAUUUCUAAAUUACAAUUAAGUAUAUGUAAAGAAAAAAUUACAAAUUCAUAUUUUUUAUUCAUUUAAUAAUAUUGCGUUAAAUUUGUUGAAAAUAAGUCAUUUAUUUGGCCAACCUGAACUCAUAAGUAUGAGUGUAUGUAACUCAUACAUAUGCAUCAAAUUAAAAGAUAAGAUCCAUCUUUAUUGGUUUUUUUUUUGUGAUUAUCGCACACCUUACCUUUACAGUUGAAUCAUGCUGCAUUGUAUUUUAGUACGGUGUGUGUUGCCUUGUGUCUAGGUUUGUAUUUUAUGAUUUGUUCAGUAUGAAAUAUAUUUAUACAUUUAUAAUUUCAAAAAUAUCUCAAGUACAAAGUGAAAUUAAGUUACCAGUAUAAUAUUAAUUAUUAAUAAUUAAUUUAAGUAUUAGUUUUUAUAUUUCAAACUUUUUUCGCAAGUAUAAUUUUUUUUGUAUGUUUUUAAAAGUAAAAUUUAUUUUUCAUAGGUUUUUAUAUUGCAUAUUUAUUCCAUCACUAAAUCAAUUAGAUUAUUAUUAUUGUUAAUAUGAAUAAUAUUUUAAUACAUACUAUAAAAUAUUGAAAUUGAAUUACAUGAUUUUUUGUUUUAGACAAUCGAGGAUGAGAUUAAUGCAGUUAACGAUAAAUUGAAUAGAGCUAUAAAACAUGGUAAAGAAAUCAUCGAAAAAACAAAAGAUGAAGAGGAAAAAGAAAUGAUUCCAAAAACCAUUGAAUCAUUAGUUGGAAAAAUGAGUCAAGUAAAACUAUGGUUAGAUGAAAAACGUAAUCAAGUAAGUUAUAAACAUACUUGCAAACAUAUAUUUAAAAAAAAAUUGUUUUUAAUAUUUGUUAAAUAAACUUGAGCAAUUGAGUAGUUUAUAAUAUACAAAGUAUCAAAUUUGUUUUAUAGCAGUAGGUAUACUUUGCUAUUAUAAAAUAUUUGAAUUCAGUAUUAUUAACCAUGUUGUAUAAUAAACAAAUGAAAUAAAUCACAAUAAUAAUAAUAAAUUAUAAAGAUAAUAAUUUAUUAUAAAUAAUAAUAAAAAUUAUUUAACUAUCUAGCUGUAGUUAAUAACGAAAUAUUAUAUCAUUUCAAAUAUAAAAAGUUUAUACUACUAUAAAAUAAUGGGCAAUGUUUGUAUAUUAUGAGACUAUUGAUAUAUGAAACUGACAUUAUUAUUAUUAUUUUUAUUUAGAUUGGAGACACAUUGGACGCCUGGCAAAAAUUCCUUUCUGUUUAUGAUUUGGUAAUGGCUUGGUGCGAAAGCAAAACAAAAUAUUUAGAAGAUCCAAUUAAUUUAAGUUCAUUAGAAGCUGCAAAACAAAAAUCCCAUGAAUUUUCGGUAAUUUAUCAUUACAACUAAAUAUUGUAUUUUAAAUUCAACAUAACAUAGAUUUAAUCACGUAGGUAUUGUAACACUUGUUUACAGGUUGCUGUGAAAUCAUGCAAACAACAAACCAAAAACCUAGCUGAAAUGAGCAAAGAAUUGGAUAUUAUUGCCUUAUCAACUGAUGUUGGACAGCUGCCUGAAAAAUUAGAAGAAGCUAAUAAUGCCAAAAAUGAUGUUGAAGGAAAACUUUCAGAAAAGGUAAAUCAUAUUACUUAAAACAUUAUUAAAUAAUAAUUUGUUCAAAAUCUUUGAAUAAAAUAUAUUAUAAUAAAUUACAAUUGAUUAAAAUUAUGAAGAAUGCACUACUGCAUGAGACAUGUGAAGAAUGGGAGCAAUUUGAACGGAAAUUAAAAGAUGUUAAAUCAUUUAUUGACAAGUCUCAAAGUGCCAUAGAAUCUACUACUAAUAAAAAACGAACAUUACGUGAACAACAUGAUCUAAGAGAAAAAAUGUUGGCAGAUAUUACAAUACAAAGAAAAAAGAUUACAUUGUCUACUGAAAAAUUACAGGUUAGAUAAUGUGUAAAAUUGUCUGUUUAAAUAUGCCAUUACCUGGAUUUUUGAAUCUUAAAAAGUGGUGUACAGAAAUAAAGCAUUAAAUUAUUUUUUUGGUAAUAGUUGUAUUCUAUGAACUUGACACAAUAUAGUGAUGAAUUAUUUUAAAAUUUAAAUGUCAUAAUAAAUUUAAAACUUAAGUUGGAAUUCCUAAUAAAAACCUUUUAAAUGAAGAAAUUUGAAAAAUAAAAUAAAAAUAUAAUUAUUCAAUUUAUAUUUGUGAAAUAUGAUUGAAGUUCGGUUACAUGUGUUUUAUAAUUUUGUAAUUUUUACAAUUUUUAUCAAAAUCAAUCUUAAAAUUAAGAAAAUAAAAUAACUACAUUACAAUCAACUUUUUUAUUACUACGUACAACUUAUAAUGAACUUCGUGUUAAAUUUCAAGUGUUUCUGUGUGCAAACCUAUGCGUUUGGGUGUUUAAUGCUAAACUAGUUUUAUUAAUGGUAAUCAAAGAAACAAUUGUUAAAAUUGUUUUUCGUAUCUUUGGUUUACCAUUGUAUUAUGUCACCCAUUUACUUAGUUAACUUAUUAUAUUUUGAACAUGCACAAUUCAUAUUUAAAUGAUUUAAAAAUUCAUAUUAAAUUCUAAAAACAAUACUUUUUGGCGACAUAUUAUGGUAUGCAAAAUACUAAUACACACCUACAAUUAACGUAUAACAAAGCCAUUCAUUAUUGUAAGACUUCUUAGCUCUGCACACAAUUUAAAAAUAUUUAAAUAUUUUCCGUUUUUACAACUUAUUUGAGUACUCAAUUUAAAUAAAUCAGAUUUUCAAAUGUAGUUUAAUUGAAUAAAAAUCAGAUACUUAGUAUUAAAAUAAUACUUUAUACAAGUUCUAUUUAUGUAUCUAUAGUGUAAAUGUAGCUAUUUAAAAAUAUAAAAAUAAAAAAAUGGUUACAUUACUAUAAUCUCAGUAGUUAAAAAUAUUAAUAAGUUUUUAAAAGUACUACACUUUCUUUAUAUUGUAGGUUUUUUAACGUUUAAACUUCAGUAUUUUAAUUAAAUUUUGUAAUAAAAUAACCGUUAUUCAGUGUUCAAUUUUAAAAAUAGCAUUUUUUAAUUCAAAUUCAGACUUUAACGUAAUCUUAAAUUUUUCUGAGUGGGUAAUUCUUAUAGAAUAAAGAUACCUCUUGCAUCAGUUGCCUAAAAGCCAAAGUCAACCAGUAAUGGGUAAAAUUGGUGUGAACAAUUUAAUACACAAUGUAAAAUUUAUUUAUUGUUUUAUAUAAAAUAUUAAUUAAAAAUGUUUUAAUCUAAAAGUGUUUUAUUUUAUUAUUUAUUUUAGAUACAUUUCCGAGCUGGUUUUGGGGGCAGUGAAAACAUAGAACAUUUAUCUGAAGACAAUUUGUCUCAUCUAGAUAACUUAUAUAAAAUUGUAGAAGAACAGGCUCAUAAUUUAGAAGAUAGUCUUUCACAGCUCGAUAGAUAUCAACAAGUAAAUGCGUACUAAUGAUUUGGCAUACAACAAUAGUACCUAACUCAUAUUUGUAUUACAGGAAAUCCAACAUCUUCGGCAAAAAGUCAUAACUGCCGAGCAACAAUUAAGACUCACUCAGAGUCCAACAUAUUUACCUCAUGAUAGACAAAAAGCUCUACUAGAACAAAAUGUAAGUUUUCAUACUAAUUUUAAUUUAAGAGGUAGUUUAUAAAAAAAUUAAACAUUUCUAAAUGUUGGUCUUAUACAGUAUAUUAUAUGCUGAAUUAUACAAUUUUAAUGUAAAAUUGGCUUUCAAAAUUUAUUUGUAGAUAAUCUUAUCAGUUUAAUUUUAAUAAUUGUAGUUGGGAAGAAGGAAUUAAAGGAAAUUAGUGAGAAUAUAUUUUAUUUAUACAUUAAUUACUUAUUAAACAAUUUAAACAUUUAAAUUAUAAUUUGUAAGCAAUUAGUUGUUAUAAAAUUUAAAAUAUGUACUAAGUAAGAUAGAAUAUUAUAUAAUUUGUAAGACAAUUUCGAUGUAUACAUUAAAAAGAUACUCUUCUGAAUGAAAACAUUAAAAAAAAAACCGUUCCAUUGAUUGGAACAUUGCAGGCGUUUCAAGAACAAACACGAGUGCUGCAAAGCAAGAUUAAUUCAAGGACCGAACGAAUCAAACUGAUCAUUCAACGAGGCUCCCCGAUAUCUGACCCAUUAUUAAAUUAACUAGACAUUUAAUUGUAUUUAUUUAACUUCAUAUUCAUUCCAAAAUUCUAUUUAAGCUAUUAAAAAAAAAAAAUUCCAAAAUAAAAAUUAGUUUCUAAAGAAAUUUAUUCGGUCAUGCAGGACGUUCGAAACGCACUGGAAUCAUAUCGGCAUCGUUUGGAUUGCACUGUGAAUGCUGUACGAACGCAUAUCAAUCAUUUUAUUGGUUCCAAUCCUUUGUUGGCAUCUACGUCAUGUACAGAUCCCUUAAAUAAUCUUAAAAAUCUUCAAAAACAAACUUAUGUUAGAAAACCCCGAAUAGUUCUAAAUUCAACUGAACCAAAUCAACAAUCAAUAUUCAAAUCACGAUCACCUUCUCCAUUUUGGAUAAAAGGACAAACUUCUUUGUAUUCUGAAGUUGUCAAAUCUGGUUUUGUAUCAAGAAAUAAUAGUAGAUGCAUGAGCCCCAAAUCAAAAUCAAUAGAAGGACAUAUAAGUCGAAAAUCACAUUUUAAUUUACUUAAAACACCAUUUGUGAGAGAUAGAAGUAAAUCACCUAAAGAUAAGUGUCAAAAGAAUGAUUUUGAAAAAAGUAAAUUGUUUUCCGUGCCACCAAAAACAAUAUUGUUAUCUACCAAUGGAUCAGCAGUUCCAUCUAAAGAAUUCAAAGAUAACUUAAAUAUUAGUACACCUAAUUCACAAAAUAUUAAAAGGCGAUCCCGGUCUAGACGGAAUCAGAAGUCAAAAGACCAUUUCAAAAAUGAAUCCGUUACUGACAAAGUAGUAUUAAAAACUUCUAAAUUUGAAAACAUUAUAAUUAAUCAAAGUAUAAAUACAAAUUUAUCAAUAAAACCGAAAAUUAUUGUGUCAGAUACAAAAAAUCAACAUAAUUGUUGUACAAAUGCUGAAUUUCAAAAUGCACAUCAACCAUUAGCAAAGCCUGAUGUAGAAACCUGUACCCAAACCGACACAGUAGUAGAUGAUUUGUAUGCUAUUUUAAAUCAGAAACUUUUAAAUUCUGACACUGUAAUACCUUUAAACACUAUUGGCACCCUUUCUAAAGCUCAGUUACCCUUAGCUAAUGUGUCUGAUACUGAAUAUUCAAACUGUUGCUUUGAUUUAAAUGAACAACUGAAGGGAAUAUUUGGUUCAGUUGACCAGAAACACUACAAACAUCAUAUUUUUGAUCGACCACGUUCCAAAUCUGACACUCGCGAUCUCAAUAAACUCACACAGAUAUUUAAUAGCCAAAAUACUAAUGGAAAAUACACGUGCUGUUUCGAACGUAGUGCUGAAUCAGUAAAAAAUAUUUCCAGUAGGGACUUUACUUCCGGUAGACGUUCUUUUGAUAAAAUUUUAUCCCCUUUUGGAAAUGUACAAAUGGCAAGUUCAGAUGGAACUAACAAUGAAAGCAAAAAAACCGUAAGAUUAAGUGUGGAAAUUUAAUGUUUUAUAAUUGUAUUGUUUUUAAAAGUAAAUUUAAUGUUUUUUGUGAUUUGAUUAAUAUUUGAUUAGUAUUUUGUUACUUAAUUUGUUAAAAACAUUUUUGGAUUUAUUAUAUUUGUCAUGUACAGAGAAAUUUUUAAAUUUUUGAUUAUAAUUCAAUAGGAAUGAUAGGUACCUAUUCUAAAGAAUUGAUUUUAAAUAUUAUAAAAAGAGUACAGAGAAAACAAAUAAAUAUAUUGUAGACCUAUUUUUAGUCAAAUUCUGAAACUUUAUCUCUAUUCAAAGUAAUUUUUAGAAUACAAUGAUAAAAAAAUAAUAAAUCUUAAAAUGUAUCUACAAAAGUUUAAUUAAAACAAAUCGCACUAACAAUAAUUAUUAUUGUAAAUGUGUUUGUAGUGUAUCAUAUAACAACUAACACAUGAUGGGUGAUUCAAUAAUUUGUUAUCUGUUAACAUAAUAUUAUUUGUUAUUAAGUACAGAGUUAUUGAAAAUAUUUUUUUUUCCAGAGUAUAAAAUCAAAUUUACAAGCACUGGGUGAUGAGAGUAUCCCAUUAGAAUUAGCUAUUAAACCAUUUUUAACAUAUGAUGAAGGACAUAUUGCAAUACAAGAAUUAAAUUCAACACAAACAAUGAUUUCUUCCUUAGUUAAUAGCAAUGAUAAUCAAUCAAAAACCGAAGCAAUAAAAGACCUUACAACAAAUGUUCAACAAUUUGAUAAUAUUUUAUUAGAAUUUGAAGAUGAAGAUAAAGAUGAAUUUGUAAGUUAAAAAUUAUAAACUCGCAUAAAAUUUAAUGCCAAGUUUAUAUAUAUUUUUUUUAUUAAAGGAAAAAUUAUACAAUAUAAGUAUCAAUAUCAAUAAAUUAAAAAAGAUUAUAACUCAAUUCACAAUUUAUGAAGAAAUAGAAGAAUUUAAAGUUUUAAUUAAUCAACUUAAAAUCAUAAUGAAACAAUUUGAAAAUAAAAAUAAAAUUAUUACUCAGGUAUACCAUCAGUUUGCAUUAAAUUACAUUAUAAGCAAUACCUAUAUUUCUUGUAGAAAGAGAAAUAAUUUUAAUGUAUUCAUAUUUGAAAUACACAUAAUUUUUAAUGGAAUUGUUUUUAGAUUAUAUCAAUUGUUAUAUUUAUGAGACUUGUUAAUUUAUAUACUGUUUCAAAUUAAUUUUUCAGCGAACAUUAAAUUAUACAGAUGAUACUAUAAGCUAUUAUGAAAAUUUGUUAUUAAUUUUUAAAGAUAGUGGUUUAAAAAAUGAGGUAAAUAUAUUUUUUUUAUAUAUAUUUCACAAUUCCUUUAUAAUUUUUUGUUAUAUAGGUAUUGUAAUUGUUUUAUACAUUUUUUAGAAUAAUAUAGAAGAAAACAUUUUUGAAUUAAAAAAUAAACUUCAUGAAUUGGAAAUGUACCAAGAAAAUAUUGAAUUCGAAACACGCAUUUUAAAACUAAAACAUAUAAUUGAAAAACUUGAAAUUAUAAAUUGUGAAAUUUCAACAAUGAAACAGGUAUGUUUGCACGUUUAUAAUAAUAUUAUAAUAUCACAUA